CAUAUAUAUACACACACACACACCUCUGGAUUUAUUUUCCUGUGCUGGCGAGAACAGAACAAAGCGGCUGCUGCUGCUGGCUGGCUGUGGGAAGAAGCGGAUCCCAUCACUUGGAGGUCAGCCCGGCAGCAUCCUGCAACCGAUCAAGGCCAUGCGGCUGUGAGAAUGUGCAAUCAAAUACUCCUCACCUGUCCGACCACCGUCUUUGAUUUCAGCCUUCUGCCAGAUAAAAACAAAAAGCGCUGCAGGAACUUAGCGGGUCAGACAACAUCUGUGGAGGGAAUGGACUAACAAUGAUUCUGAACUACGGGGAGAAAGCUGGAA
Leucoraja erinaceus (little skate) is the source of this 324-nucleotide long non-coding RNA. RefSeq lists it as uncharacterized. NCBI's taxonomy places the organism in Eukaryota, Metazoa, Chordata, Chondrichthyes, Rajiformes, Rajidae. The record is from RefSeq and is a predicted model, not a curated record. The transcript has 3 exons.